RNAcentral lists this non-coding RNA (77 nucleotides) under Candidatus Avimonas intestinalis. Its description in RNAcentral is "pemK RNA". It matches the Rfam family "pemK RNA". The record is from RNAcentral. Lineage: Bacteria; Bacillati; Bacillota; Clostridia. RNAcentral also lists the same sequence under 1 other name.
AUAAUGAUACUUCCGCCUUGAACGCGUCACAGCAUUGGGCGGCUCGGAGAGAUCCUCGGAGGGGUGAAAUUCCCAUG